This 217-nucleotide unclassified non-coding RNA is filed under the name uncultured Polyporales. RNAcentral describes it as "sequence contains ITS2". Lineage: Eukaryota; Fungi; Basidiomycota; Agaricomycetes; Polyporales. The record is from RNAcentral.
UAUUCUCAACCCUCCAGAUUCUUGUCGAGUUUGGAUGGGUUGGACUUGGAGGCUUUCAUUGCUGGUGAAUCUCUCACCGGCUCCUCUGAAAUACAUUAGCAGGAAUACGGCUGCAUUGGCUUCAGUGUGAUAAUUGUCUACGCUGUUGCUGUGUGGCAUAUAAAAAUGGUUCUUGCUUCUAAUCCGUCUUUCUCUGAGAGACAACCUUUUCUUGACA